Molecule: ribosomal RNA, 497 nt
Filed under: uncultured bacterium
Lineage: Bacteria
Description: partial 16S ribosomal RNA
Rfam family: Bacterial small subunit ribosomal RNA
Source: RNAcentral
GAUGAACGCUGGCGGCGUGCCUAAUACAUGCAAGUCGAGCGAACGGACGAGAAGCUUGCUUUUCUGAUGUUAGCGGCGGACGGGUGAGUAACACGUGGAUAACCUACCUAUAAGACUGGGAUAACUUCGGGAAACCGGAGCUAAUACCGGAUAAUAUCUUGAACCGCAUGGUUCAAAAGUGAAAGACGGUCUUGCUGUCACUUAUAGAUGGAUCCGCGCUGCAUUAGCUAGUUGGUAAGGUAACGGCUUACCAAGGCAACGAUGCAUAGCCGACCUGAGAGGGUGAUCGGCCACACUGGAACUGAGACACGGUCCAGACUCCUACGGGAGGCAGCAGUAGGGAAUCUUCCGCAAUGGGCGAAAGCCUGACGGAGCAACGCCGCGUGAGUGAUGAAGGUCUUCGGAUCGUAAAACUCUGUUAUUAGGGAAGAACAUAUGUGUAAGUAACUGUGCACAUCUUGACGGUACCUAAUCAGAAAGCCACGGCUAACUACGUG